This 223-nucleotide ribosomal RNA is filed under the name uncultured Actinomycetales bacterium. Its description in RNAcentral is "partial 16S ribosomal RNA". It matches the Rfam family "Bacterial small subunit ribosomal RNA", at positions 107 to 334 of the family's 1533-position model. Lineage: Bacteria; Bacillati; Actinomycetota; Actinomycetes; Actinomycetales. The record is from RNAcentral.
UGAGUAACACGUGGGUGAUCUGCCCUGCACUUCGGGAUAAGCUUGGGAAACUGGGUCUAAUACCGGAUAGGAGCCAUCUUUAGUGUGGUGGUUGGAAAGUUUUUCGGUGUAGGAUGAGCCCGCGGCCUAUCAGCUUGUUGGUGGGGUAAUGGCCUACCAAGGCGGCGACGGGUAGCCGGCCUGAGAGGGUGUACGGCCACAUUGGGACUGAGAUACGGCCCAG